This 484-nucleotide ribosomal RNA is filed under the name uncultured bacterium. Its description in RNAcentral is "partial 16S ribosomal RNA". It matches the Rfam family "Bacterial small subunit ribosomal RNA", at positions 30 to 507 of the family's 1533-position model. The record is from RNAcentral.
AUUGAACGCUGGCGGCAGGCCUAACACAUGCAAGUCGAGCGGAUGAAGGGAGCUUGCUCCUGGAUUCAGCGGCGGACGGGUGAGUAAUGCCUAGGAAUCUGCCUGGUAGUGGGGGAUAACGUCCGGAAACGGGCGCUAAUACCGCAUACGUCCUGAGGGAGAAAGUGGGGGAUCUUCGGACCUCACGCUAUCAGAUGAGCCUAGGUCGGAUUAGCUAGUUGGUGGGGUAAAGGCCUACCAAGGCGACGAUCCGUAACUGGUCUGAGAGGAUGAUCAGUCACACUGGAACUGAAACACGGUCCAGACUCCUACGGGAGGCAGCAGUGGGGAAUAUUGGACAAUGGGCGAAAGCCUGAUCCAGCCAUGCCGCGUGUGUGAAGAAGGUCUUCGGAUUGUAAAGCACUUUAAGUUGGGAGGAAGGGCAGUAAGUUAAUCCCUUGCUGUUUUGACGUUACCAACAGAAUAAGCACCGGCUAACUUCGUG